GAGGGUAUAGCUCAGUGGUAGAGAGCAUGCCUAGCAUGCACAAGGUCCUGGGUUCAAUCCCCAGGACCUCCA
Molecule: transfer RNA, 72 nt
Filed under: Camelus bactrianus (Bactrian camel)
Lineage: Eukaryota; Metazoa; Chordata; Mammalia; Artiodactyla; Camelidae
Also listed under: 1 other name
Rfam family: tRNA
About the family: Transfer RNA (tRNA) molecules are approximately 80 nucleotides in length. Their secondary structure includes four short double-helical elements and three loops (D, anti-codon, and T loops).
Source: Rfam by way of RNAcentral